AUUUUAGUCAACUUUAUUGGUGCCUUAAGUUACAGCUGUAACAUAUACCUAUUUGGUAUUAGGGAUAAUCGGGAAGUCAGUUAAAUUCUGGCACUGCCCCCGCAACGGUGAAUGGUGAGAGACGAGCGCGCCUUAAUGGAUAGGCGUUUAAAGCUUGUAUUCGCGUGUUAGUUUCUAACACUGAACCUAAGUCCGGAGACCGGCCAACAAAGUGAUUUCGAU
RNAcentral lists this non-coding RNA (222 nucleotides) under Shewanella pealeana. Lineage: Bacteria; Pseudomonadati; Pseudomonadota; Gammaproteobacteria; Alteromonadales; Shewanellaceae. The record is from RNAcentral. RNAcentral also lists the same sequence under 1 other name.